GGUUUCCGUAGGUGAACCUGCGGAAGGAUCAUUAUCGAGCGCUACAAUUAGGAAGACCGGGGUCGAGGGGGUUUAUUCUCUCUUCUCUGUCAACCUUUUUAUUAUACACACCUUGUGCAUCUAUUGUAGGUCCUCGAAAAGAGGAUCUAUGUUUUAUAUACAUUACCUAUCAUACAUGUCUAGAAUGUCAUUUGAUUAUUGGAAAUUAUACAACUUUCAGCAAUGGAUCUCUUGGCUCUCGUAUCGAUGAAGAACGCAGCGAAUUGCGAUAAGUAAUGUGAAUUGCAGAUUUCCAGUGAAUCAUCGAAUCUUUGAACGCACCUUGCGCUCCUUGGUAUUCCGAGGAGCAUGCCUGUUUGAGUGUCAUUUUAAUUCCUCAACCAUGUCUUGAUUGCGCAUGGCUUGGACUUGGGGGUUGCUGGCCGCCUCACUGCGUCAGCUCCCCUUGAACGCAUCAGCGAUGGAAAUGUGCUGACGUGCACGGCCUUUUUGACGUGAUAAUGAUCGUCAUCAUGGGGCUGGAGCGUCAUGAAUCGCUUCUAAUCCAGACAAUAACUGCUACACUACU
Molecule: ribosomal RNA, 568 nt
Filed under: Boletus sp. YM2932
Lineage: Eukaryota; Fungi; Basidiomycota; Agaricomycetes; Boletales; Boletaceae
Description: eukaryotic LSU rRNA
Rfam family: 5.8S ribosomal RNA (bases 212-366)
Source: RNAcentral